Molecule: ribosomal RNA, 508 nt
Filed under: uncultured bacterium
Lineage: Bacteria
Description: partial 16S ribosomal RNA
Rfam family: Bacterial small subunit ribosomal RNA
Source: RNAcentral
AUUGAACGCUGGCGGCAUGCCUUACACAUGCAAGUCGAACGGCAGCGGGGGAGAAGCUUGCUUUUCCUGCCGGCGAGUGGCGAACGGGUGAGUAAUACAUCGGAACGUGCCCUGUAGUGGGGGAUAACUAGUCGAAAGAUUAGCUAAUACCGCAUACGACCUGAGGGUGAAAGUGGGGGACCGCAAGGCCGCAUGCUAUAGGAGCGGCCGAUGUCUGAUUAGCUAGUUGGUGGGGUAAAGGCCUACCAAGGCGACGAUCAGUAGCUGGUCUGAGAGGACGACCAGCCACACUGGGACUGAGACACGGCCCAGACUCCUACGGGAGGCAGCAGUGGGGAAUUUUGGACAAUGGGCGAAAGCCUGAUCCAGCAAUGCCGCGUGUGUGAAGAAGGCCUUCGGGUUGUAAAGCACUUUUGUCCGGAAAGAAAUGGCUCUGGUUAAUACCUGGGGUCGAUGACGGUACCGGAAGAAUAAGGACCGGCUAACUACGUGCCAGCCGCCGCGGUAA